This 254-nucleotide ribosomal RNA is filed under the name uncultured bacterium. Its description in RNAcentral is "partial 16S ribosomal RNA". It matches the Rfam family "Bacterial small subunit ribosomal RNA", at positions 524 to 776 of the family's 1533-position model. The record is from RNAcentral.
UACGAAGGGGGCGAGCGUUGUCCGGAAUCACUGGGCGUAAAGGGCGCGUAGGUGGCCUGUGGAAGUCUGCGGUGAAAGCCCGGCGCUCAACGCCGGGUCGGCCGUGGAUACUCUCGGGCUCGAGCUUACUAGAGGCAGAUGGAAUUCCGGGUGUAGCGGUGGAAUGCGUAGAGAUCCGGAAGAACACCGGUGGCGAAGGCGGUCUGCUGGGGUAAUGCUGACACUGAUGCGCGACAGCGUGGGGAGCGAACAGG